RNAcentral lists this long non-coding RNA (415 nucleotides) under Rattus norvegicus (Norway rat). RNAcentral describes it as "long non-coding RNA NONRATT017525". Lineage: Eukaryota; Metazoa; Chordata; Mammalia; Rodentia; Muridae. The record is from RNAcentral.
GUAGGAGGCAGGGUGGUUCAUCUUGCCAGUGUGGAGGUCAGAUCCCCCUGGAGAUUUUAAGUAAGGUUGUUGGCCUGACUGGCAAGCACCUUUACCCUCUGAGACUUAUUGGCCUCAGAAUUUGGUAUCCUUAAUGAGUUGCCUGCCCCGUACCCUCCACAGAUGCGAGGGGAAGCUGAGGCCUUUGCCGUAGGGGCCCGCGCUCGUGCUGAGGCUGAGCAAAUGGCCAAGAAGGCAGAAGCCUUCCAGAUGUACCAGGAGGCCGCCCAGCUGGACAUGCUGCUGGAGAAACUGCCCCAGGUGGCAGAAGAGAUCAGUGGCCCCCUGACCUCAGCCAAUAAGAUCACGCUGGUGUCUAGCGGAAGCGGAACCAUGGGGGCCGCCAAAGUUACUGGGGAAGUACUGGACAUCUUAA